Tympanuchus pallidicinctus (lesser prairie-chicken) is the source of this 3264-nucleotide long non-coding RNA. RefSeq lists it as uncharacterized. The record is from RefSeq and is a predicted model, not a curated record. Lineage: Eukaryota; Metazoa; Chordata; Aves; Galliformes; Phasianidae. The transcript is spliced from 4 exons.
UUUUUUCUUUUUCUUUUCUUUUUUUUUUUUUAUAAGAUUAAGCUCCCUGUGGCUAAGAAUAGCUUCUGUGAUUAUGUGAGCAGCAGCAAAAUGUAAAAAGAGUGUGAAUAAUGUGAAUGUCACUGGAGGCAAAAAUCCCACUCCACCCGUCGCGACACAGUCCACUUUGAUAUGUCUCCGGGUGGCGCUUGGCUAAUUUUGUAUCUUCCUCAGUGGGAUCUCCAGUUGAUGUGACAAAAGGGAUAGCAAAGUGAGAGCAAUCAUUUUGCAUCAAGUAAUGCCUCUGGUACUGUAAACAUGCUGAUAAUCAGAGACUGCCAACCCCAAAGGGCUAUGAGCAUUGGCCAAGCUGGUUGUUUUGUUCCAUAACAGAUGGCUUGUUAUGAAGUACCCCAAGUUUUCAACUGAUGGAUUCUCAUAAGGUAGCUCCUGGUGUAGCCAUGCCUGCUUUGCUCUCUGACUGCUUGGAGAGAGCUACAAAUAAUGUGGGGUUUUUUUUCCCAAAUUAUCUCUCAGGGGCCCUAGCAUCCUGAUAGGUCCUGAUUCUCACCAGUUUCUCAGAACCAGAGUAGGAAACCCAGGACAGGAGGCCUCAAAGGACCAGCUGGAAGGAUAUGAAGAGAAGGCUAACAAAGCCACUCAGCUGUAAUUUGUAGACUCAUCAUUAAGUGCCGUUUUCCAGGGAAGAGAGAGCUGAGAAUGGCUCAAACUGUUGAAACUACAAAUAAACCUUUUAAAACAGAUUCCAGGUGGAAAGAACAAAGUCCUGUGUGCCUGAGUUUGCUGAGAAGCUGUAGUGGAAAUGCUAAGUCAUAGCGUGAACCAGUGAUUGAGCACCUGGUGGGAAGGCAGUACCAAAUCAGGGGAACUCAUGUGUAUGCAAUACACCUGAGUGACUGGAAGGAGUGGAGCCAGGAUCAGCCCCUUCCCAGACUUCGCUUAAGGGUUGGCAGUGCCUCCUUGAAGGGUUCCGAAGUUUCAGCAUGGUCUGCUGGAGUGGGAACAAGUAGGACAAGAAUGCAAGAGAAGUAGCGAUGUACAGAACCAAUAUUAUUGCCAAACACUUGAUGAUAUCAAGAAGAAUCAGCACAACCUGUUCGAUCCUGCUCCAUACCUUACAAGCCCAGAGGCCUCUCUCAUGUACCACCCAGUCAUUUCUUCUGUACCUUGAAGAUACCUGUUCUACUUGCACUAUUCUAUGCUACCUGGGAAGGGCAAAAGCUGUCCUCCUCUAUUCCCAUCCAUGAGGGAACAAUUCCAUGCAUGACUUCUAAGCCAGUGAGGGACUGCCUAUCACAGAGGAUGAUGUUCAGUCUGCUUCCUCCUCUCUUCUGGAGACAAACCCUGCCAGAGAAACCAAAACCUGUACCCUAUUGGCUAAACUUUCACCUAAGCAAAGGGAGAGAUACCCAAAGAUGUCUUCUGCCAGUGCUCAUUAGAACUGAAUCCAAAGUCACCACAUUGUGAUAGUCAUCUUUUACAGGUAUGUAUCGUAUGGUAUUUAUUGGUAUAGAUUGAUGUUUGGACAAGGUAAUCUCAUGGUCUUUUCAACCUUAUUCUAUGAUCUGUGCUGCUCACACCCCUAGGGAUGCUCUGCUCCUGAGUUUGUAGAGAAGAAAGUACUCUCCCUUUUUGGCUUUCACCUUUUAUGCUUGAGCACAGGAUUGUAUCAACAGAUGCGGAUUCUAGUCUGGAAAGCUGCUUGCCACUGACUGCAGGGGACAACUUAAUCUUCAUGUUGACUUUAUUGCUGGGUUUCCUAGAUGGCUGUUUUGCUGCCUGAGCCUGAAGUAGCAAGGGAGAAAGGGGAGCCAAAAGGAGAAAUGAAGUCCCUUGGCUGGAAUUUCAAUCCUCUCUGAUUUUUCUUUACAAAGACUGAACAGGCUUAGAGGAAAGGGCUGCUCAAGACUUGUCAGAGCCUUCCUGAAGGCAAGUGUCUGCAGUGCUACCCUUCCUGGAGGACUAAAUCUGAAUAUCCCAGCAUCAAAAACAGGCUAUUUACCUCUUUAAGGACAUCCCCUUGCUGCACCUUUCCUCUGCUCUCAAUAUCAAGCUUGCCUUUUUCUCUCUCUCUCUCUUCUCUUCGCUUUUCCUGGGUGUCUGAAGUUCUGGACACUGUGUCACUCCCACAGAAAGAGGGUAGAAAAAUACUGUAAGGUUGCAGCUCUGUUGUAGCUUGGCAGCUGCUGGCUCUGCACGUCCAUCUUCCUCCGCUACUCUCUCCCCCACUGUUAGAUUCAAUUUCAUAAAUAAAUACCCCACGUAUUGACGUCAUUAUAGGCCUUGAGAAAUAAUACUCCUGCCGCUUUCUUUGCUAAGCAUGGGGAAUGGAGGAGAGAGGGAGGAGGAACAGAAGCAACAACGUCUUGGAAGAUGAAGACUUAAUAUUCUCCUAAUCACCUCCCUCCCUUUGUGGCUAUGACCCAGCUGUGAAGAAUACAAAGAUUACCAUUAUCAGCGUGCCCUUGUGGCUUGAGAAAGGAUAAUCGAGUAUCAAAAAUUCCUAUUUCAGACUAUUUUUUUUUAGGAGAGAGGAUGAUGGGGACGUACUCUGGAAGGGUACCCUCAACGGUCCCUGUGCUCCUGUCAUGAAAUUAAGAAAUUUGUAUCCAAAAUGAGCUCACAGUUCAUGUUUCUGUGUCUUAAGACACCAGUGAUGUUUCCAGCCAUGUCUCAUUGAAAAUCUCUUUCCCUCGCUUUAUUACUGGAGGUCAAGAGGUUGCUUCUUAGACUAAGCUGUGACAAGUCAAAGCCAAGACCACUGACUUUGUGCCUUUUUUUUCUCAGUUCUAACAUUCCACUGUGGUACUCCUCAAAACUGUGAAAUAAUUUGCAUUUUUGUUUGUUUAUUUUGCUAGAAGAAUGAAAGAUUCCCUUCUCCGUGUCCUUACUCUUUGCCAAGCAAGAGCCUAGCAGGUUAGAAACCUCAGCUUUCAGAUCAGUGUUGGCAGAUACCAGGAGAAGGAAGGGAAAGAGGAUCUUGCAGGGCUCUCUGCAAAAGCUGGCAUGAUUUUGAUGAGCAAGGCAUUCCUUGGGAUGCAUGCAGCUGGGAGUGCAGCAACAAAGGGGGGACAGAAAAGACACCAGAUGUGAAAGUUUCUUAUAGCUGAUUUGCUUUAUUGAUAAUGUAUUACAAGUGGGAAGUGCAAUAGGUGCACAACCUGGGAAGUGUGCAUCUUGUCUAUUGCUGGGUGCAGACAAGUGAUGUUGGUGAUGAAUCAGUGCCUUUCCCAGGCUUCCCCACAGGCAUAUAAAACAUCAGUG